UCAUCAAUUUGAAUUCUUAUUUUUUUGCACUCCCCAAAAAAAUAAUUCACACUUUUUCCCCGCCAUUUAUUUUAUCUCUUUUCAAUUUCUUUUUCCUUUCUUCUCAAAUCUGUUCUCUUUUUUCUUAGGGCUCAAAACUUCUUCUGUACUUGGUUUUUUCAAAUGAAACCCUAAUUCCUUUUAAAUUACCCUUAGAUUCCUACAAUAUUUACUAAAAGAACCACUCAUUUUCAACUCUCCGAACAAAAAUGGAGGUAGUUAAUAGAGAGAGUGUGCUUUUCAUGUGGGGAUAUUUACCUGGACCGUUACCGCAACGAGCUCCGCUUGUAUCGCCGGUUCUUGUGCCGAUUCCGGAUUCCAUUGACCAUUCUUGGACCGACGUAUGCGGUGGCGGUUGUGGAUUCGCCAUGGCCAUUUCUGGUUGUUUUUCCUAUCUCUCUUUUUCUCGUUGGCUUUCCUCCCCUUCUUUCCCUGAUUUUAAAUUUUAUUUCUUAUAAAAAUAUUUAAAUUUUUGGUAAUGUAAUUGCGGCUUUUGGGGUGGUUGUUAGAUUUUGUACAUUUUGAUCUGUCUGGUUGGCUAGAAAAUGUAAAAGGACUGGGCGUUAUAAUUCGAUUUUUUCGUUGUUUUCAUUUUUGUUUUGUCAUGAAGUCAACUCACUUGUCUCAAAUUAGCUAUGUUGAGUUCCUUCCUGCUCUUUUUAUAUACUGGUUUUGAACUACAGGUUUUCUCUCUCUGUCUCCGUUCUCUAUAGUUUAAAAAGAUUUCAACUUGUUAAUAAAUUGUUAACAGAUGAUUAGAGCUGUGAACCGAAUUUCAAUUUAAUAUAUUUAGUUUUAAAAAACUUUCAUUUUUCUUGUAUUUGGCAUAUAAGAUAAUUUUUUUUAUGCAAUAACUUCCGUGAAGCUAACAUUAUAUUCUACUAAUGGUGGUUUUUUAUGCAAACCACACACCAUCCAAUCCGAGGUGGCGCAGUGCUUGCCGCUUCCUUCGUUGCCUGUUUUCUGUGGUGCUUCGAAUCUGGAGCUCCGGCUGUUUGACGACCCAGCUGUUGGAGCUUCCAGGUCUUUGAACCGACAGCAAAUUAAUAAGCUCAGGCUAGUCGAAUUGCUGAUCUGCUUCGCGAAACUGACGUUUCAUAUCUGAAUCUUAGGGAUGAGGCAGAUUCAGUUUCGCAUGACCAUUUGGAGCCCUUGGAACUUCAUGCACAAGUUCUCCAAUACAACCCUGCAGCAUUUGUGUAUGUUACUCCUGGAUUGGUCAUUACACAAUCCCUAAAGAGAUGAAUGAGGUCUGCAAUUGGCUUACAGCUAGGUUGGGGCUCGAGCGAUAAGACUAAAUAUAGCCAAGAGUCGGGAAGCGAUAAAGGUGAAAAGAGAGAAAACUGCAUAUGUUACAAGUAGGUAGUAAACAAAAUGGAUUGUUAGGUUAUAUGGUAUACUUGGAUCUGGAUAUAUUUCACUACUUGGGGCUACCUUUGUAGAAAUAAGAGAUCAACAGAGUUUCUUGGAAUUGAAGUUGCAGUUUCAAACUGUAUUAGCUUUUUUGUAGUACAACAUCAAUAUCAAUGUCCAUCGUCUUAGGUAUUUUUUUAUUUGUUUACUUUUGUACAUUGAAUUGAAUGUUAGUGGUAUACAUUUCAGCUAAAUGUAACAUUUAUUUUGAUUGUUAGAUCGAUUUUUGUAAUGAAUAUUCAAUCAUUAUUUUAAUUUUAAUUUUAUAUUUUAUA
This is a long non-coding RNA of Gossypium arboreum, 1727 nucleotides long. RefSeq lists it as uncharacterized. The transcript has 3 exons. The record is from RefSeq and is a predicted model, not a curated record. NCBI's taxonomy places the organism in Eukaryota, Viridiplantae, Streptophyta, Magnoliopsida, Malvales, Malvaceae.